GCCGGGGUGGUGGAACUGGUAGACGCGCCGGACUCAAAAUCCGGUGCCAGAAAUGGUGUGGGGGUUCGAGUCCCCCCCCGGCA
RNAcentral lists this transfer RNA (83 nucleotides) under Candidatus Gallionella acididurans. It matches the Rfam family "tRNA". From Rfam's summary of the family: Transfer RNA (tRNA) molecules are approximately 80 nucleotides in length. The record is from Rfam by way of RNAcentral. Lineage: Bacteria; Pseudomonadati; Pseudomonadota; Betaproteobacteria; Nitrosomonadales; Gallionellaceae.